GAAGAUAAUUAAUUCCUUUUUGCUCCAAUUUGAUCUCCAUGAAUUACAAAGCAUUAUUCUUAGCUUGUUUUAUCAUAAUCCUCUGUUCAUCCUCAGCAACCUCUAGGAGAUUGCCAGGUUAUAGAUGCAAUGCCUAUAAAUUUCGAGAAGAAUCGUGUUCACCACGUAGAUCCCUCUACCUUAGAUCUGCGAAACCAUAUAUUCAACCACCAGAUUCAAUAUCGUCACCUGAUCGUGGAUCAUGAACAGAAGAUUAAUUGAGUAACAACAAAAAUUAUAUUGAGCAACAACUUACUAUUAUAUUUAUGUUUAAUUAAAUAUGGUGUUGGAGUUGGACAAUUGUAUGUUUGGA
This is a long non-coding RNA of Solanum tuberosum (potato), 352 nucleotides long. RefSeq lists it as uncharacterized. The transcript is spliced from 3 exons. NCBI's taxonomy places the organism in Eukaryota, Viridiplantae, Streptophyta, Magnoliopsida, Solanales, Solanaceae. The record is from RefSeq and is a predicted model, not a curated record.